UGUUUUACUACUCAUUGUUAUGUGCUGCUGUAGGUGGUGAAGAGAAGAGUCAGGUGGUGGGGGGAGAUGUGACAGCAGUGGAUUUAGACCGCUUGGACCCAGGAGCCCAGUACGAGGUGCGGGUCAUGGCUUUAGUACAAAACAGAGAAGGAUCCCCUGUGUCUGUCAGAGUCACCACACCUGGAGCCCCGUCUCCCUCAGUACGUAUCACAACUUUACGGGUGGCGGAGGUUACCCAGAAUGCUGUGCGACUUGGCUGGACUCCACUGCCUGGCGCCACAGGAUAUAUUCUACGCUGGAGAGAUGAGACAGAUAUUGGUCGAGGCUUGUCUGUCACGCUCCCUGCUGCGUCCAGCUCUUACCAGGU
Molecule: long non-coding RNA, 367 nt
Filed under: Cottoperca gobio
Lineage: Eukaryota; Metazoa; Chordata; Actinopteri; Perciformes; Bovichtidae
Description: lncRNA (ENSCGOG00000020477.1)
Source: RNAcentral